CCCCUAGUAACUGCGAGUGAAGCGGGAAAAGCUCAAAUUUAAAAUCUGGCGGUCUUUGGCCGUCCGAGUUGUAGUCUGGAGAAGUGCUUUCCGCGCUGGACCGUGUACAAGUCUCUUGGAACAGAGCGUCAUAGAGGGUGAGAAUCCCGUCUUUGACACGGACUACCAGUGCUUUGUGAUGCGCUCUCAAAGAGUCGAGUUGUUUGGGAAUGCAGCUCAAAAUGGGUGGUAAAUUCCAUCUAAAGCUAAAUAUUGGCGAGAGACCGAUAGCGAACAAGUACCGUGAGGGAAAGAUGAAAAGCACUUUGGAAAGAGAGUUAAACAGUACGUGAAAUUGCUGAAAGGGAAACGCUUGAAGUCAGUCGCGUUGGCCAGGACUCAGCCUUGCUUUUGCUUGGUGCAUUUUCUGGUUGACGGGCCAGCAUCGAUUUUGACUGUUGGAAAAAGGCUGGGGGAAUGUGGCACCUUCGGGUGUGUUAUAGCCCUUAGUCAUAUACGGCAGUUGGGAUCGAGGACCGCAGCACGCCUUUAUGGCCGGGGUUCGCCCACGUUCGUGCUUAGGAUGCUGGCGUAAUGGCUUUAAACGACCCGUCUUGAAACACGGACCAAGGAGUCUAACAUGCCUGCGAGUGUUUGGGUGGAAAACCCGAGCGCGUAAUGAAAGUGAAAGUUGAGAUCCCUGUCGUGGGGAGCAUCGACGCCCGGACCUGAACUUCGGUGAUGGCUCUGCGGUAGAGCAUGUAUGUUGGGACCCGAAAGAUGGUGAACUAUGCCUGAAUAGGGUGAAGCCAGAGGAAACUCUGGUGGAGGCUCGUAGCGAUUCUGACGUGCAAAUCGAUCGUCAAAUUUGGGUAUAGGGGCGAAAGACUAAUCGAACCAUC
Molecule: ribosomal RNA, 881 nt
Filed under: Brunneoporus minutus
Lineage: Eukaryota; Fungi; Basidiomycota; Agaricomycetes; Polyporales; Fomitopsidaceae
Description: partial large subunit ribosomal RNA
Rfam family: Eukaryotic large subunit ribosomal RNA
Source: RNAcentral